RNAcentral lists this ribosomal RNA (465 nucleotides) under uncultured bacterium. Its description in RNAcentral is "bacterial SSU rRNA". It matches the Rfam family "Bacterial small subunit ribosomal RNA", at positions 338 to 795 of the family's 1533-position model. The record is from RNAcentral.
CCUACGGGAUGCAGCAGUGGGGAAUAUUGGACAAUGGGCGAAAGCCUGAUCCAGCAAUGCCGCGUGUGUGAAGAAGGUCUUCGGGUUGUAAAGUACUUUCAGCGGGGAGGAAGGCGAUAAGGUUAAUAACCUUGUCGAUUGACGUUACCCGCAGAAGAAGCACCGGCUAACUCCGUGCCAGCAGCCGCGGUAAUACGGAGGGUGCAAGCGUUAAUCGGAAUUACUGGGCGUAAAGCGCACGCAGGCGGUUUGUUAAGUCAGAUGUGAAAUCCCCGGGCUCAACCUGGGAACUGCAUCUGAUACUGGCAAGCUUGAGUCUCGUAGAGGGGGGUAGAAUUCCAGGUGUAGCGGUGAAAUGCGUAGAGAUCUGGAGGAAUACCGGUGGCGAAGGCGGCCCCCUGGACGAAGACUGACGCUCAGGUGCGAAAGCGUGGGGAGCAAACAGGAUUAGAUACCCGCGUAGUC